This 496-nucleotide ribosomal RNA is filed under the name uncultured bacterium. RNAcentral describes it as "partial 16S ribosomal RNA". It matches the Rfam family "Bacterial small subunit ribosomal RNA", at positions 28 to 507 of the family's 1533-position model. The record is from RNAcentral.
GAUGAACGCUGGCGGCGUGCCUAAUACAUGCAAGUCGAGCGAACAGACGAGGAGCUUGCUCCUCUGACGUUAGCGGCGGACGGGUGAGUAACACGUGGAUAACCUACCUAUAAGACUGGGAUAACUUCGGGAAACCGGAGCUAAUACCGGAUAAUAUAUUGAACCGCAUGGUUCAAUAGUGAAAGACGGUUUUGCUGUCACUUAUAGAUGGAUCCGCGCCGCAUUAGCUAGUUGGUAAGGUAACGGCUACCAAGGCAACGAUGCGUAGCCGACCUGAGAGGGUGAUCGGCCACACUGGAACUGAGACACGGUCCAGACUCCUACGGGAGGCAGCAGUAGGGAAUCUUCCGCAAAGGGCGAAAGCUUGACGGAGCAACGCCGCGUGAGUGAUGAAGGUCUUCGGAUCGUAAAACUCUGUUAUUAGGGAAGAACAAAUGUGUAAGUAACUAUGCACGUCUUGACGGUACCUAAUCAGAAAGCCACGGCUAACUACGUG